Molecule: long non-coding RNA, 864 nt
Organism: Schistocerca americana (American grasshopper)
Lineage: Eukaryota; Metazoa; Arthropoda; Insecta; Orthoptera; Acrididae
Exons: 3
Source: RefSeq, a predicted model, not a curated record
UCUCCAGUCUGGCUAUCCGUUGACGAAACCACUGAUUCUUGCAGUCGUUAUAUGGUGCACGUCAUAGUUGGAAAACUCUCUGCUGACGAGACUGGAUGAGGACACCUCAUACUGUGCAAAGAAGUGAAAUGAACAACACACGCCACGAUUGCACGCACAGUCUAAGUUUCGCCAAUAUUGAAUAGUUUAAAAUAAAUUACAGGCGUGCUGUGGAGAAGUGAAGAUCAGAAACGUGGGGAGAACAAGGUUUUGGCCAUUUUUACGGAUAGUGCCACAUAUAUGAUGAAGGUUGUAGAGUGUCUCUGGGUGUCAUUCUUCACCUCACGUGUCGCUGAAGAGGUCAGAGCCGCAUUGCCAGAGGUCAGCUGCCUUAUAUCUUCGGCAAUGAAGGUUUUCAUCACGCCACCAAGUAAAGUGAGAACUUUCAAGACUGCUCACUCUGCCACCUGAACCAGUCUUGACGAGGUCCUAAAGGGUUUUGAAGGUAGCGAAAAUUGAGCCAUACCAAAAUCCAAGGGCGCCUUGAAGAAUUCCAGCAUGUUACACAGCCUAUCUUUCACCCGAGUGCACUUGGGUGACCUUCCAGACCUAAGUGAGAAACUUGAGGCUCGUAACAUGGAAGUUACGAAGGCAGUGGCUCUCGACGGAGGACUCAGGACACAGAGCAAGAAUUGGCCAGGCCCGAUCGCUGAGAGAUUUAGAAGAAAAUUGGAUGCAGUUCUCCACAGAAACCCUGGUUGACCUACGAUUCGGAAGAAGGCUCAGUUUCUCGGAGCAUUUCUGUUCUUCCAGUAUCUAGAUGAUUUCACGUCGUCUAAUGUCGCUGCUCUUAAAUUUUUACCUGUAGUGUCAUGUGAUGUUGAA